Molecule: ribosomal RNA, 273 nt
Filed under: uncultured bacterium
Lineage: Bacteria
Description: partial 16S ribosomal RNA
Rfam family: Bacterial small subunit ribosomal RNA
Source: RNAcentral
AAGUUUGAUGGCGACCGGCGCACGGGUGAGUAACACGUAUCCAACCUGCCGAUGACUCGGGGAUAGCCUUUCGAAAGAAAGAUUAAUACCCGAUGGCAUAGUUCUUCCGCAUGGUAGAACUAUUAAAGGAUUUCGGUCAUCGAUAGGGAUGCGUUCCAUUAGGUUGUUGGCGGGGUAACGGCCCACCAAGCCUUCGAUGGAUAGGGGUUCUGAGAGGAAGGUCCCCCACAUUGGAACUGAGACACGGUCCAAACUCCUACGGGAGGCAGCAUG